This 274-nucleotide ribosomal RNA is filed under the name uncultured bacterium. RNAcentral describes it as "partial 16S ribosomal RNA". It matches the Rfam family "Bacterial small subunit ribosomal RNA", at positions 523 to 796 of the family's 1533-position model. The record is from RNAcentral.
AUACGAAGGGGGCUAGCGUUGUUCGGAUUUACUGGGCGUAAAGCGCACGUAGGCGGAUUGAUCAGUUAGGGGUGAAAUCCCGAGGCCCAACCUCGGAACUGCCUUUAAUACUGUCAGUCUAGAGACCGGAAGAGGUGAGUGGAACUCCUAGUGUAGAGGUGGAAUUCGUGGAUAUUAGGAAGAACACCAGUGGCGAAGGCGGCUCACUGGUCCGGUACUGACGCUGAGGUGCGAAAGCGUGGGGAGCGAACAGGAUUAGAUACCCUAGUAGUCC